RNAcentral lists this long non-coding RNA (274 nucleotides) under Jatropha curcas. Its description in RNAcentral is "long non-coding RNA (JCUR_LNC002344)". Lineage: Eukaryota; Viridiplantae; Streptophyta; Magnoliopsida; Malpighiales; Euphorbiaceae. The record is from RNAcentral.
AAAAGGAAGGGUAACACUGCCUAUGGUAUUUGCAGAUUUUUGGCUAAAUAUGAAGAAAUUAAAAAAAAAAAAAAAAAAAAAAAAAAAAAAAAAAAAAAAAAAAAAAAAAAAAACAAAGUUCGUGCAUGUCUUCCUACCAUAGGGUCUAUGGACAAGUGCCCUGAUUUAGACUAUAAUAAAGGUUCCUACCCUAGAACUGUAGGGCACCUACAUUAUAAAGUUAGGACAUCUAUCCUUAAAAAUUAAAUUAUAAAAUUUUUACUCAUAAGCCCAG